RNAcentral lists this ribosomal RNA (700 nucleotides) under Klebsiella pneumoniae. Its description in RNAcentral is "bacterial SSU rRNA". It matches the Rfam family "Bacterial small subunit ribosomal RNA", at positions 49 to 740 of the family's 1533-position model. Lineage: Bacteria; Pseudomonadati; Pseudomonadota; Gammaproteobacteria; Enterobacterales; Enterobacteriaceae. The record is from RNAcentral.
CUACCAUGCAGUCGAGCGGUAGCACAGAGAGCUUGCUCUCGGGUGACGAGCGGCGGACGGGUGAGUAAUGUCUGGGAAACUGCCUGAUGGAGGGGGAUAACUACUGGAAACGGUAGCUAAUACCGCAUAAUGUCGCAAGACCAAAGUGGGGGACCUUCGGGCCUCAUGCCAUCAGAUGUGCCCAGAUGGGAUUAGCUAGUAGGUGGGGUAACGGCUCACCUAGGCGACGAUCCCUAGCUGGUCUGAGAGGAUGACCAGCCACACUGGAACUGAGACACGGUCCAGACUCCUACGGGAGGCAGCAGUGGGGAAUAUUGCACAAUGGGCGCAAGCCUGAUGCAGCCAUGCCGCGUGUGUGAAGAAGGCCUUCGGGUUGUAAAGCACUUUCAGCGGGGAGGAAGGCGAUAAGGUUAAUAACCUUGUCGAUUGACGUUACCCGCAGAAGAAGCACCGGCUAACUCCGUGCCAGCAGCCGCGGUAAUACGGAGGGUGCAAGCGUUAAUCGGAAUUACUGGGCGUAAAGCGCACGCAGGCGGUCUGUCAAGUCGGAUGUGAAAUCCCCGGGCUCAACCUGGGAACUGCAUUCGAAACUGGCAGGCUAGAGUCUUGUAGAGGGGGGGUAGAAUUCCAGGUGUAGCGGUGAAAUGCGUAGAGAUCUGGAGGAAUACCGGUGGCGAAAGGCGGGCCUCUGGACAAAGAC